Molecule: unclassified non-coding RNA, 387 nt
Filed under: Penicillium sp.
Lineage: Eukaryota; Fungi; Ascomycota; Eurotiomycetes; Eurotiales; Aspergillaceae
Description: partial contains 5.8S ribosomal RNA, internal transcribed spacer 2, and large subunit ribosomal RNA
Source: RNAcentral
AACGCAUAUUGCGCUCGAGACUUCGGUCGAGAGCAUGCCUGUCUCAGCGUCGGCUCACCCCUCGCCCACCCUUCUCCAUUUUCUUCGGAAAAAGCCGGAGGUGCAUGGACGGAUGUGGCCGUCUCGAUCCCUUUGAUGGGAUCGGGUCGGCUGAAGUGCAGGGCCCGCGGCGCGACCCGGACAAGAGGGCGCCAGCAUGGCAGGUGGCUUUCAAUGCUGCAUGCCGCUGUCGCCUGCCCUUGGCCCGACCAGUGUCGCAUCCAAUCGUCCGCUCGGCCACCAAGCAGGAAAAUGUGUCGGUCGCCCGCCGGUUAGUAAAAUAAUCGGCGGCGCCGGCACACUCAAACCUUCGACCUGAGAUCAGACAAGACCACCCGCUGAACUAAA